Small nucleolar RNA from Nycticebus coucang (slow loris), 122 nucleotides. RefSeq annotates it as small nucleolar RNA SNORA22. The transcript has a single exon. Lineage: Eukaryota; Metazoa; Chordata; Mammalia; Primates; Lorisidae. The record is from RefSeq and is a predicted model, not a curated record.
CUGUCUCAAAAAAAAAAAAAUACUGCAAUGAAAAAAUUGGGACUAGAGCAAUGCCUGUCUUUUUCCUCUGCAUUGAAAGGUGUAUUUAUCCUUUUAAAUGUAUUCAGAAUGCCAGCACAUUA